CACUAUCUAUUACAUAACCAAGACUUCAUUACUCUUGCUGACCUCCUAGUCUACCCUGUACCUGCAAACCUGGGGGUUAAGGGAGAGGGGUGAGCUAUAAAGCCCAGUGAGCAGAAUAAUAAAACAUUUAAAGCAUAUGAUAACAUGGGAUGCAUCACAUCACAAUCAUAUCACAUCAAGGAUGAAUUUGUCACCCAUAGCCCUCAAAGUGGUCCAACUGUGCCAGGGGUGUAGAAUGGGCCUCACUGGUCUUUCUCUUACAUAACAUAUCAUAACAUAACAUUCCAACUGUGCCAGGGGCGUAGAAUGGGCCUCGCUGGUCUUUCUCUCACAUAGUGCCAGAGGCGUAGAAUGGGCCUCACUGGUCUUCCGUACCGUAUCAUAUCAUACCAUAUCAUAUCAUAGGAGGGCUAAAGGAUCAUUCAACAUUCAUCCAUAUCAUCAACAUAUUAUGCAAUGCAAUAUAUUCGUGAAUUCUAAUGCAAACAACCUAAUAUAUCUCAUGGCAUUCAUGAUGCGUGAAUCAUGCUAAGAAUUAAUUUAUUUACUUUAAAACAUAAAAAGUUUAUUCCACUCACCUCUGGCUGAAGCUCUACUGACUCUGAGGCGACCGACUCACUGCUGGGGUCCUUGGUUCCUCGGGUCCGAACCUACACAGGUGGACUCAAAUGAGGGACCAAACGUCUAUAAUCAAGACUCUGAAAUACUCUCCAAAAACCCCUUAAAACACCUUAAAACAAUCAUAGGAAACAUGCAAAGGAAGGCUGAACAGGGCACUUUCGGCGGCAGGUUCGGCGGCCGAAAGUCCCUCCAGAGCCAAAAGUCAGGCAGGUUCGGCGACACCUUCGGCGGCCGAAACUCCCAGACAGAGACGAAACUCAUGCAUGUUCGGCGGCACUUUUGGCGGCCGAAACUGCCCUCCAGAGACGAAAGUCCUCUUUCGAGGGCAGGCUUCGGCAGCCGAAGGCUGCCUCCACAAGUGGGUUCGGCGGCUGAAAGUCCAUUCGGCGGCCGAACCUGAGUUUCUCCAAAGUGGCAGAAACUCAACUCCAACAUGUACAAACGCCUCCCAAACCUUUCAAACAUGCAUAGACCUGAUCUACAACAUGCAUACUCAAGCAUACAAGCUCCUAGGGGCUUCAACUAUCUUAAACCCCAACUACAACACAUCAAGCAACCUCAAACAUCAUACAUUGCUCAAAAACUUAACAUAACCCAUAAAACCAACCAAAACCUAAACAUGCAUUUCUACCCCAUAAAUCAACUUAAAACUUGUUCAAAACAUGUAGUGAGCUCAAGAUCGGCCCUUACCUCUUGAAGAUCGAGAGGAAAACGACCCUAGCUUGAAGAUUGAAGAGUUUGAGUUUCUUGAACCUCAAAGCUCCAAAACUUGCUUUAUGCUCGAAAAUCUUCAAAACAAAGUGAAAACUUG
Molecule: long non-coding RNA, 1432 nt
Filed under: Manihot esculenta (cassava)
Lineage: Eukaryota; Viridiplantae; Streptophyta; Magnoliopsida; Malpighiales; Euphorbiaceae
Description: long non-coding RNA (MESC_LNC004797)
Source: RNAcentral